Molecule: long non-coding RNA, 1064 nt
Organism: Panicum virgatum (switchgrass)
Lineage: Eukaryota; Viridiplantae; Streptophyta; Magnoliopsida; Poales; Poaceae
Exons: 3
Source: RefSeq, a predicted model, not a curated record
AUCCUCGAGUCUUCCUCCUCUAUCGGAUCUAUUCCUGGCUGACAUUCUCGUCCCCUCAUGAGCACGGAGGGCCGCCCCUGGAUCGACUCCUCACAUGAGGCCGUGGCUGUGGCAGAGCACUGGAUGUGAAAUCGCACUCGAUCGUCGCUGGGCACGCAGCAGCCUGCUAGUGUAAGUGCGCCGUGCACAUCAACUCCUCUGCAUUGGCCUUGCACGGAUCAAGGGGAAGAGCUUGGGCGAUUGGGCAGGGCAGCUGGACACGGACGGUGAUCAGCUGAAAGGGACCACUAGGACACCAAGCAAGGGCAGUUGAUUGAUUAUCAUAGGUGAUGGAUCGAAGCUGGAUGACUAAACCAAGAAGGGAACCUGCUUACAAAGAUGGAGUGGACCAGUUCCUCUCAUUUGCUUUCCGUGACCUUCCACAUGAUAGAAAGAUAGCAUGCCCUUGCAUCAAUUGUGAAAAUAGAGUUACCCAAAAUCGUGAUGAAGUUGAGACUCACCUAAAAUGUGAUGGUAUUCUUCAGGGUUAUACAGUAUGGAAUCACCAUGGAGAGGAGUAUGACCCACCAUCAUUUGUAUUUGCUCAUGUGCCAGAUAACGAUGGGAGUAUUCCUACUUUGGGUGUCCCAGUAGAAAAUAGCCAUGGAAGAUUGGAUGACAUGCAAGGACUACUACAGGCUGCAUUUCUUCCACCAGCAAGCUAUGAAUCACUGUCAAGUAUGUCUGGAGCCGAAUUAGAUGAUAUUCAGUCUAAUUUUACAAAUAUGGAACAUAAUAUAGCUGAGGAUGUAAUGAGUCCUGCACAAGAUAAUACUACCAAGACAGAACAUGAUAUGUAUGAAAGCUUCUUCAAGGAUGCACACACAAGGUUGUACCCAGGCUGUGAGACAUAUACAAAGCUGUCAUUUUUAGUCCAUUUAUAUCACCAAAAGUGCUUACAUGGUUGGACACAAGAAUCCUUUACAUCCCUGCUUGGUAUAUUAUCUGCUGCACUUCCACCCGAGGCAAAUCUACCUAAGACAUAUUAUGAAGCAAAAAAAAUUAUCCGUGCUUUUGGUCUUGAC